RNAcentral lists this antisense RNA (75 nucleotides) under Streptomyces atratus. Its description in RNAcentral is "ASpks TB sRNA". It matches the Rfam family "ASpks TB sRNA". The record is from RNAcentral. Lineage: Bacteria; Bacillati; Actinomycetota; Actinomycetes; Kitasatosporales; Streptomycetaceae.
CUUGACCGAGCCGAGCCAGAGCGGCUCGUUGUCGGCGCGCUCCUGACCGUAUGUGUUGAUCAGUGCCUGGGCCUC